This 429-nucleotide ribosomal RNA is filed under the name Pseudomonadota bacterium. RNAcentral describes it as "Proteobacteria bacterium partial 16S ribosomal RNA". It matches the Rfam family "Bacterial small subunit ribosomal RNA", at positions 355 to 776 of the family's 1533-position model. The record is from RNAcentral. Lineage: Bacteria; Pseudomonadati; Pseudomonadota.
UGGGGAAUAUUGGACAAUGGGCGAAAGCCUGAUCCAGCCAUGCCGCGUGUGUGAAGAAGGUCUUCGGAUUGUAAAGCACUUUAAGUUGGGAGGAAGGGCAGUAAGCGAAUACCUUGCUGUUUUGACGUUACCGACAGAAUAAGGACCGGCUAACUCUGUGCCAGCAGCCGCGGUAAUACAGAGGGUGCAAGCGUUAAUCGGAAUUACUGGGCGUAAAGCGCGCGUAGGUGGUUCGUUAAGUUGAAUGUGAAAGCCCCGGGCUCAACCUGGGAACUGCAUCCAAAACUGGCGAGCUAGAGUAGGGCAGAGGGUGGUGGAAUUUCCUGUGUAGCGGUGAAAUGCGUAGAUAUAGGAAGGAACACCAGUGGCGAAGGCGACCACCUGGGCUCAUACUGACACUGAGGUGCGAAAGCGUGGGGAGCAAACAGG